Molecule: ribosomal RNA, 242 nt
Filed under: uncultured bacterium
Lineage: Bacteria
Description: partial 16S ribosomal RNA
Rfam family: Bacterial small subunit ribosomal RNA
Source: RNAcentral
GAUCCUGGCUUAGGACGAACGCUGGCGGCGCGCCUAACACAUGCAAGUCGAACGAGAGAGAGGAAGCUUGCUUCCUCAAUCGAGUGGCGAACGGGUGAGUAACGCGUGAAGAACCUGCCUCAAAGAGGGGGACAACAGUUGGAAACGACUGCUAAUACCGCAUAAGCCCACAGGUCGGCAUCGACCAGAGGGAAAAGGAGCAAUCCGCUUUGAGAUGGCCUCGCGUCCGAUUAGCUAGUUGG